Molecule: long non-coding RNA, 2017 nt
Organism: Chenopodium quinoa (quinoa)
Lineage: Eukaryota; Viridiplantae; Streptophyta; Magnoliopsida; Caryophyllales; Amaranthaceae
Exons: 2
Source: RefSeq, a predicted model, not a curated record
UUAAGUGGAAAUAGGAAUAUAAUUGACUUUAAGUUUAAAUGAUGUUAGGAGUAUGCCCAAUAUGGGUUAGAUCUUACCACCUUGAAACUAACAUGCUAUUUCGAAACUAAAAACAUUAUCUCAAGUUCUUAACUUGAUCUUGACACAUGAUCUGCAACAGUUUAAAUUCGGUUUACACUCUUGCGAAAUGGGCAAAACAAUAUUUGCGCUCCCAAGAAUCAUACUAAUGUUGUUGGUUCAAACCAUUUGCAGUUACAGCACUUUACCGCUCUUUGCUGUUGUCACACAGGUAUAUCAUCCUUCUAACUAAGCAGCCAGGCAGGAGGAGAAGGAGGGCCAUGGUUUGAGUCUACACCAUCAUGGAUCAUUGGAGCAGUGGUGUUUCUGAUGGUUGCUGUUUCUUAAUUGGUUCAUCGAAAAACUUCUUAGUUUCCUCGGUCAGGCAAGUCUCUUUCUACCCCUCCCAUAGGCCUCAGACCUUAUUCGAAGCUAAAACCAUAAAAACGCUUGCAGAUGUUGAAAAGAUAGGAAAAGAAGCCCCUUUAUGAUGCCUUACAGAAUUGAAGAUCAAAGAAGGUUAUAUACCAACUUUUUUGCAUCUUUUUUCUCACAACAUUAUCUUGCAGAGUUGAUGCUGUUGGGGUUUGUAUCGCUGCUUCUGGCUGUUUUCCAAGAUGAGAUUGCAAGUACAUGCAUAUCAGAAUAAUUAGCCAAGAAGUCAACCAGUAAUGAUAUCUCCCAUUUUCAGAUCUCUCUCCUUCCCAGUGGAGGACGCCGCCUUCUAGCUGAGAAGACCACCUUUUCUUGCCCAAAGGUAUUCUUUUGUGUCUUAAAUCUGUCUUGCUAACAUUGUUUGCCUAAAACACAAGUGGAGUCCUUCAUUUUUUACCCUUUUAAUAUCGGCAGCAACCUGGAGGUGGUUGAAUUAUUUUUUUAUUUUAUUUUUUCCGGUGUGAGGGUGGCUGGAUGUGGUGGUGGUGAAUUGGGUAGGAGGGAAGCAAAGAGGACGGCUGGGUCCGGAAGGUCGGCGGCGACUGACCCAGCGAGGGAGGGGGCUCCAGCAAGGGAAGGAAGAAGAUGGGUUAUUGUUUUUUUUUGUUUAUUCCUUUAUUUUUUAAAAAUAAAAAAUAAAAAUAACCAAUUAGAAGACAACACGUGGCAAAAUGCCUUCUAAACAGGUUACCAAUAACACUAAUAGGUAAAAGGCUCAUUUUGAGAAUAUGGGGUAUAAAGGUGGGAUUAUUUUUGGUUAACAGUAUGGGUGUUUUGGAAAGUUUGGUUAACAGUAUGGGUGUUUUGGAAAGUUUGGUUAACAGUAUGGGUGAUUUGUGCUUGCUCACCCAUAUUCUUCUGUCUAGUAAAUACCACCUAAAUCUGACCUAUAAAUUACAUGAAUUCAUCUAUUUAUUUAAAAUUGAAUUAGGCUUCCAAUUGAAGAACAUAAUAAUACAGUGAGUUUUUACAACAAAAUUUGCACACAAGUAACUUCUCUCCUUUGCCUAAUAGACGUUUUGACACAUGCCGCAGACAACGUUACUAUAGUUAACAAAAUGUGCGGUGCAACAUUCGCUCCGGUUGUAUGCAUUAGCUGCAUAAAAAGCAACAACAAGGACGCUCUUACGGACGUAGAUGUCAUCCAUCAAAUGCUUGGAUGCUUGCAAAACGAUGCUUUAAAACUCAUGCAUGAUAUGGACAAGAUUAUCAAAAACAAGUUGGCCGAUUUGACGACGAUUAAUAUCUUGAAAAGACGUGAAGCUAACUCUGGAGUCUUACUAGUUAGAGAAAUUUGAGACGCAUACAAAGAAAUUGCCACUUCUAUUAAGAAUAAUGCUUUCUUCCUUGAUUAUUUCACAAUUACAUUUCUUUGUCACCUUUUUAGAUUGACCAAAGAAAAAUUAUACUAGAAGAUAACUGCAGAGAACAAAAUCAGAAAGCAUUGUGAAUUUGUGAUAUAUUUACCUUAGCUUAAAACAAGUAAAAGAAAAGAAUUAAUACUAGAAAAGAAAAAAAAAAAAAA